GAUGAAGAACGUAGCGAAAUGCGAUAAGUAAUGUGAAUUGCAGAAUUCAGUGAAUCAUCGAAUCUUUGAACGCACAUUGCGCCCCCUGGUAUUCCGGGGGGCAUGCCUGUUCGAGCGUCAUUUCACCACACAAGCCUCGCUUGGUAUUGGGCAACGCGGUCCGCCGCGUGCCUCAAAUCGACCGGCUGGGUCUUCUGUCCCCUAAGCGUUGUGGAAACUAUUCGCUAAAGGGUGCUCGGGAGGCUACGCCGUAAAACAAACCCAUUUCUAAGGUUGACCUCGGAUCAGGUAGGGAUACCCGCUGAACUUAAGCAUAUCAAUAAGCGGAGGA
This 331-nucleotide unclassified non-coding RNA is filed under the name soil metagenome. RNAcentral describes it as "partial contains 5.8S ribosomal RNA, internal transcribed spacer 2, and large subunit ribosomal RNA". The stretch from base 1 to 120 matches the Rfam family "5.8S ribosomal RNA", at positions 35 to 154 of the family's 154-position model. The record is from RNAcentral.